GGGGGGGGGGGGGGGGGGGGGGGGGGGGGGGGGGGCGGGCGGGGGGGCGGCGGGCGGGGUGGGGGGGGGGGGUGAGGGGCGAACGGGGGAGGAACGCGUGAGGAACGUGCCGCCGUCUGCGGGAGGACCGCGGGAAAGGGUGGCGAAUACGGGAUAUGCUGGAUCUGUCGCAUGAGGGGUCUGGGACAUAGAUUCUUUCGGUGGGGCAUGGGCUCGCGGCCUAUCAGCUUGUUGGUGGGGGGAUGGCCUACCAAGGCGGUGACGGGUAGCCGGCCUGAGAGGGUGGACGGUCACACUGGGACUGAGACACGGCGCAGACUCCUACGGGAGGCAGCAGUGGGGAAUAUUGCACAAUGGGCGAAAGCCUGAUGCAGCGACGCCGCGUGAGGGAUGGAGGCCUUCGGGUUGUGAACCUCUUUCGCCAGUGAAGCAGGCCUGCCUCGUGUGUGGGUGGGUUGACGGUAGCUGGAUAAGAAGCGCCGGCUAACUACGUG
RNAcentral lists this ribosomal RNA (494 nucleotides) under uncultured bacterium. Its description in RNAcentral is "partial 16S ribosomal RNA". It matches the Rfam family "Bacterial small subunit ribosomal RNA", at positions 38 to 507 of the family's 1533-position model. The record is from RNAcentral.